AGUUAUAGUUUGAAGCAACUGUUUGGGAUCGAGGACUUAUUUAUCGCACUAUGGGGAAUGGCAGAACGUACACGAGAGGACUGUGCAUCACUUUCAAUGUCCUGCUUCUGGUAUCUGGGGUAUUUCUGUUUGUAGUUGGGGUUUCAUACAGCUUCCAACACCCUCCUGAGUUUGACCAUCGGAGUACCCUCCAUGAGAUGUACGUACAAAAUGUGUUUGGACCCAUUACUGUACUGUUCUCCAUCCUGGGAGGCUACGCUGCCUACAGAGACAAGAGAAUACUG
Molecule: long non-coding RNA, 284 nt
Organism: Salvelinus namaycush (lake trout)
Lineage: Eukaryota; Metazoa; Chordata; Actinopteri; Salmoniformes; Salmonidae
Exons: 3
Source: RefSeq, a predicted model, not a curated record